Molecule: ribosomal RNA, 253 nt
Filed under: uncultured bacterium
Lineage: Bacteria
Description: partial 16S ribosomal RNA
Rfam family: Archaeal small subunit ribosomal RNA
Source: RNAcentral
UACCCGCAGCACAAGUGGUGGUCAUUAUUAUUGGGCCUAAAGCGUCCGUAGCUGGCUUGUUAGAUGCCUGGGUAAAUCGAUGCGCUCAACGCAUCGAACUCCGGGUAGACCGGCAAGCUUGGGACCGGGAGAGGCGUGAGCUACUCGAGGGGUAGGGGUAAAAUCCUGUAAUCCUUCGGGGAGGACCAGUGGCGAAGGCGACUUACUGGACACAUAUUGACGCUGAGGUGCGAAAGCGUAGGGAGCAAACAGG